This 253-nucleotide ribosomal RNA is filed under the name uncultured bacterium. Its description in RNAcentral is "partial 16S ribosomal RNA". It matches the Rfam family "Bacterial small subunit ribosomal RNA", at positions 524 to 776 of the family's 1533-position model. The record is from RNAcentral.
UACGUAGGCAGCGAGCGUUGUUCGGAAUUACUGGGCGUAAAGAGUGUGUAGGUGGUGCUCCCAGUCUGUUGUGAAAUCUCCCGGCUUAACUGGGAGGGUGCAGCGGAAACUAGAGUGCUAGAGGGUGGGAGAGGUAAGCGGAAUUCCUGGUGUAGCGGUGAAAUGCGCAGAUAUCAGGAAGAACACCUAUGGCGAAGGCAGCUCUCUGGGACGGUACUGACGCUGAGACGCGAAAGCGUGGGGAGCGAACAGG